GACGAACGCUGGCGGCGUGCCUAAUACAUGCAAGUCGAGCGGACAGACGGGAGCUUGCUCCCUGAUGUUAGCGGCGGACGGGUGAGUAACACGUGGGUAACCUGCCUGUAAGACUGGGAUAACUCCGGGAAACCGGGGCUAAUACCGGAUGGUUGUCUGAACCGCAUGGUUCAGACAUAUAAGGUGGCUUCGGCUACCACUUACAGAUGGCCCCGCGGCGCAUUAGCUAGUUGGUGAGGUAACGGCUCACCAAGGCAACGAUGCGUAGCCGACCUGAGAGGGUGAUCGGCCACACUGGGACUGAGACACGGCCCAGACUCCUACGGGAGGCAGCAGUAGGGAAUCUUCCGCAAUGGACGAAAGUCUGACGGAGCAACGCCGCGUGAGUGAUGAAGGUUUUCGGAUCGUAAAGCUCUGUUGUUAGGGAAGAACAAGUGCCGUUCAAAUAGGGCGGCACCUUGACGGUACCUAACCAGAAAGCCACGGCUAACUACGUG
This 497-nucleotide ribosomal RNA is filed under the name uncultured bacterium. Its description in RNAcentral is "partial 16S ribosomal RNA". It matches the Rfam family "Bacterial small subunit ribosomal RNA", at positions 28 to 507 of the family's 1533-position model. The record is from RNAcentral.